This 496-nucleotide ribosomal RNA is filed under the name uncultured bacterium. Its description in RNAcentral is "partial 16S ribosomal RNA". It matches the Rfam family "Bacterial small subunit ribosomal RNA", at positions 28 to 523 of the family's 1533-position model. The record is from RNAcentral.
GAUGAACGCUAGCGGCAGGCCUAACACAUGCAAGUCGAGGGGUAGAGGUUGCUUGCAACCUUGAGACCGGCGCACGGGUGCGUAACGCGUAUGCAAUCUGCCUUGUACUGAGGGAUAGCCCAGAGAAAUUUGGAUUAAUACCUCAUAGUAUCUUUUCCCGGCAUCGGGAGAUUAUUAAAGUUCUAACGGUCCAAGAUGAGCAUGAGUCCCAUUAGCUAGUUGGUAUGGUAACGGCAUACCAAGGCAAUGAUGGGUAGGGGUCCUGAGAGGGAGAUCCCCCACACUGGUACUGAGACACGGACCAGACUCCUACGGGAGGCAGCAGUGAGGAAUAUUGGUCAAUGGGCGCAAGCCUGAACCAGCCAUGCCGCGUGCAGGAUGAAGCAUCUAUGGUGUGUAAACUGCUUUUAUACGGGAAGAAACACCGGUUCGUGAACCGGCUUGACGGUACCGUAAGAAUAAGGAUCGGCUAACUCCGUGCCAGCCGCCGCUGUAA